Molecule: ribosomal RNA, 814 nt
Filed under: uncultured bacterium
Lineage: Bacteria
Description: bacterial SSU rRNA
Rfam family: Bacterial small subunit ribosomal RNA
Source: RNAcentral
AGAGUUUGAUCCUGGCUCAGGACGAACGCUGGCGGCGUGCUUAAUACAUGCAAGUAGAACGCUGAAGGAGGAGCUUGCUUCUCCGGAUGAGUUGCGAACGGGUGAGUAACGCGUAGGUAACCUGCCUCUUAGCGGGGGAUAACUAUUGGAAACGAUAGCUAAUACCGUAUAAAAGUCGACAUUGCAUGAUGUUGACUUGAAAGGUGCAAUUGCAUCACUAAGAGGUGGACCUGCGUUGUAUUAGCUAGUUGGUGAGGUAACGGCUCACCAAGGCAACGAUACAUAGCCGACCUGAGAGGGUGAUCGGCCACACUGGGACUGAGACACGGCCCAGACUCCUACGGGAGGCAGCAGUAGGGAAUCUUCGGCAAUGGGGGCAACCCUGACCGAGCAACGCCGCGUGAGUGAAGAAGGUUUUCGGAUCGUAAAGCUCUGUUGUAAGAGAAGAACGAGUGUGAGAGUGGAAAGUUCACACUGUGACGGUAGCUUACCAGAAAGGGACGGCUAACUACGUGCCAGCAGCCGCGGUAAUACGUAGGUCCCGAGCGUUGUCCGGAUUUAUUGGGCGUAAAGCGAGCGCAGGCGGUUUGAUAAGUCUGAAGUUAAAGGCUGUGGCUCAACCAUAGUUCGCUUUGGAAACUGUCAAACUUGAGUGCAGAAGGGGAGAGUGGAAUUCCAUGUGUAGCGGUGAAAUGCGUAGAUAUAUGGAGGAACACCGGUGGCGAAAGCGGCUCUCUGGUCUGUAACUGACGCUGAGGCUCGAAAGCGUGGGGAGCGAACAGGAUUAGAUACCCUGGUAGUCCACGCCGUAAAC